GAUUUACCAAUGUCAUUUAAAAAAAUCAUGUUUCUACAGAGAAGAUUAGCAUGGCCCCUGAGCAAGGAUGACACGCAAAUUCGUGAAGCAUUCCAUAUUUAA
This 102-nucleotide small nuclear RNA is filed under the name Vicugna pacos (alpaca). The record is from RNAcentral. Lineage: Eukaryota; Metazoa; Chordata; Mammalia; Artiodactyla; Camelidae.